CCCUUAGAUGUUCUGGGCCGCACGCGCGCUACACUGAUGAACGCAACGAGACCACCUGUACCGAAAGGCAUGGGUAAACUUGUGAAAGUUCAUCGUGAUGGGGAUAGAUUAUUGCAAUUAUUAAUCUUCAACGAGGAAUUCCUAGUAAGCGCGAGUCAUCAGCUCGCGUUGAUUACGUCCCUGCCAUUUGUACACACCGCCCGUCGCUCCUACCGAUUGAAUGGUCCGGUGAAAUCUUCGGAUUGCUGGAUAGGACUUCAUUGACCUAUCUGCGAGAAGUUGCUUGAACCUUAUCAUUUAGAGGAAGGAGAAGUCGUAACA
RNAcentral lists this ribosomal RNA (321 nucleotides) under uncultured eukaryote. Its description in RNAcentral is "partial 18S ribosomal RNA". It matches the Rfam family "Eukaryotic small subunit ribosomal RNA", at positions 1470 to 1796 of the family's 1831-position model. The record is from RNAcentral.